GGAAGUACUCUCUCUCACUGGGCGAGUGACAGAGAUGAAAAACGAUGUUAAAAUUUAGGAAACUUUAUUUGGUGCAUCUUUCGAUAUCUCUUUUAUUCUCUAUGCAAAAAAAAAAAAAAUAGAGAAAAAAGAAACAAAAAUAGGGAUUAUAUAUUUGUUAAAAAAAAAAGAAAGUAAAUAAAAAUUCUUUUAAUGGUGAGUUGAUAUAACUAUGCCUUUUUCGUGGACAAGCAACUAUAUUAAAAGAAACUUUGCACAUCAAGGAAUAAAUAUGAUAUAUUUAUAUCAAUUUCUCAGGUACACUGUAGUUUAAUCUGACAAUUACUUUCGACAGCUAUGGCUGUGGUCCCAAGAAGAACGAAUGAUUUCUUUUUUGUUCCCGGUGUUUUCGUCGUCUUCUUUGUAUUUCUCACUUUUUUUGGUUUCCAAUUGGUUUCCAAUGUGUGUGUUUGAUAGCGCCGAGGCAUGUUAAUUAUAUGUCUUGCCAGAGGAGGCGUUACAGUCGCAACGAUGUCGUCACAGCCUAUACUCACCAGUGCCAUCUAACAAUGCAUUCUAGAAAUGCAAAACUGAUAAAGAAAUAAUGGCCAUAUUAGACGUAUAAGGUUAAGUUACCUUAAUCUUAUAAUCAAUCAUUGUUCAAAAAAUUGAUAGAUACGUUUGAUCCUAUGGUUUUUUAUAACCAUAUAAUUCCUUUAUGUAUAACACUUAUGUUAAGUUAAUACCGAUAUUCAAAUGAUAUUCAAGAAAAUCAUUAGCGUAACCAUAUUCUCAAUAUAUAUAGAUAUAUCAUAAAAUAAUAUUUUACUAUAAUGUCUUUAUUACGAAUUAUUCGAUAUAACGAAUUAUUCUUUAUUUUUCCUUUAACUGCAAGAGAACUCUUUCUAAAUAAUCCGUCCAAAAGAAAGAGUUAUGUCAUCGUUCAAUUCAAGAGAGAUUUCAAUGCCACAGUUAGUUCAUCUAUUAAAGAAGAGUACAAGAAACAAAAGAUUCUAUCAAACAUUUAUAAAGUUGGUUGAAGAACAUUAGCAACAGAUGUAACUAAACAUGAAAAAUAAAUAUAAAACAAGUUUUAUGCGAAGCAAAUAAACAAAAUAAUGAAGUAACAAGAAGUACUGACCAAUCACAUUUUUCAUGGAAAGACUUUUUGGAGUAUUUAUAUCCAAUUAUUUGGUAUUUAUUGAUUUCUUUGUCAGUAAGUAUGAAAAUAUUAAUAAAAAGUAAAUUAAGCAUACACAAUACAAUUAUCUUCCUUCAAAUGUUUAUAAAAAUGAUAUAACAACAAAUACUCUAAUCAAAUUAGAUUAUAGAUAGAUAUAAAAUUUAUUUAUCGACCAACAGAAAUUCAAUUUAUUAGGUAAUAUAAAUUUAAUUAAUUGUGCAAGUGUUGCGGUACCGGAUGAGAUAUUUUCUACCGUCUUUGUGUAAAUCCAUAUUGUUUCACUACAUACUGUAUAUUUUUUUAUUUGUAGAGCGCCCUAAUAGUUACAAUAUUAAAUUCUUGGAUACCGCAAUCUGUUGGUAAUAUUAUAAAUAUUGUGACAAAAAUAGUCCAAGACAAAAAGAUGAUUCUACAUUGAAUACUUUGGAAAUACUUCUUAGACCAACAUUUGUGCUGGCACAUAUAUAUGUUACACAAGUAUGCACAUUUUAUAUAUCUUCAAAAAUUUCAAAUAUAUAUUCACAAUAUGUACAUCGCAAGGCUAAAGAAGUUCUACACAAAUUGUUGGUUGUGUUAUUUCUGUAAUAAUGUUAUAGCCUCAGUUGAGAGUAUCAAUGUUAUUAUGUAUGCCAACAGUUACAUUUAUUGGUAAUCUAUUAGGAAAAAACUUGCGUAAGAUUUCUACAAAAA
This is a long non-coding RNA of Vespa velutina, 1852 nucleotides long. RefSeq lists it as uncharacterized. NCBI's taxonomy places the organism in Eukaryota, Metazoa, Arthropoda, Insecta, Hymenoptera, Vespidae. The transcript has 3 exons. The record is from RefSeq and is a predicted model, not a curated record.